This 86-nucleotide small RNA is filed under the name Arabidopsis thaliana (thale cress). RNAcentral's name for it is "ATSL233230". The record is from RNAcentral. Lineage: Eukaryota; Viridiplantae; Streptophyta; Magnoliopsida; Brassicales; Brassicaceae.
CAAGAUGACCUAAAGCGUGCAACUGGAGAAUUCACCAAGGACGAGAACGAUGCUAACAAACUUAACCGCAUUCUUCAACUCACAGG